GAUGAACGCUGGCGGCGUGCCUAAUACAUGCAGGUCGAGCGAACGGACGAGAAGCUUGCUUCUCUGAUGUUAGCGGCGGACGGGUGAGUAACACGUGGAUAACCUACCUAUAAGACUGGGAUAACUUCGGGAAACCGGAGCUAAUACCGGAUAAUAUUUUGAACCGCAUGGUUCAAAAGUGAAAGACGGUCUUGCUGUCACUUAUAGAUGGAUCCUCGCUGCAUUAGCUAGUUGGUAAGGUAACGGCUUACCAAGGCAACGAUGCAUAGCCGACCUGAGAGGGUGAUCGGACACACUGGAACUGAGACACGGUCCAGACUCCUACGGGAGGAAGCAGUAGGGAAUCUUCCGAAAUGGGCGAAAGCCUGACGGAGCAACGCCGCGUGAGUGAUGAAGGUCUUCGGAUCGUAAAACUCUGUUAUUAGGGAAGAACAUAUGUGUAAGUAACUGUGCACAUCUUGACGGUACCUAAUCAGAAAGCCACGGCUAACUACGUG
Molecule: ribosomal RNA, 497 nt
Filed under: uncultured bacterium
Lineage: Bacteria
Description: partial 16S ribosomal RNA
Rfam family: Bacterial small subunit ribosomal RNA
Source: RNAcentral